GUCUUUAUGAUGUUAUAUAAAGUCUGACCUGCUCUCUGUUAAUAUUAAGGGCCGCAGUAUUUUGACUGUGCGAAGGUAGCAUAAUAAGUAGGUUAUUGAUUGUAAUCUGGAAUGAAAGGUUAAACGUGAGAAUGUCUGUCUCAAAUGUUAAGAUGAAUUUUAAUUGUUAGUUAAAAUGCUAAUAUUAAUUAAUUAGACGAGAAGACCCUAUUAAGUUUUAUAUUUAUAUAUUUUUGUUUUAGUAAUUUAAAGUGUUAAUAAUAUUUAGCUGGGGCGGUUUUUUUAAUUAAACAUCAAUUUUAUUUUUUUCUUAUAAGAAGUUUGUGAACCAUAAGUUAUGGUUGUUAGAAUAAAUUACUAUAGGGAUAACAGCGUAAUUUUAUUGGAGAGUUCUUAUUGGUAAUAAAGAUUGCGACCUCGAUGUUGGAUUAAGGUUUCUUAUUGGUGCAGGUGCUAAUAAAGAUGGUCUGUUCGACCUUUAAAAUCUUACA
RNAcentral lists this ribosomal RNA (491 nucleotides) under Cormocephalus pseudopunctatus. RNAcentral's name for it is "partial 16S small subunit ribosomal RNA". It matches the Rfam family "Bacterial large subunit ribosomal RNA", at positions 1830 to 2600 of the family's 2925-position model. The record is from RNAcentral. Lineage: Eukaryota; Metazoa; Arthropoda; Chilopoda; Scolopendromorpha; Scolopendridae.